This 731-nucleotide small RNA is filed under the name Pongo abelii (Sumatran orangutan). RNAcentral describes it as "processed transcript". The record is from RNAcentral. Lineage: Eukaryota; Metazoa; Chordata; Mammalia; Primates; Hominidae.
AUACCUAACUGCAAGAACUGCCACAUCCCUGGUGGUCUGACCGUGUCUCUGAGCUAAGCAGCAGAUUUCAGCCACAGGGUCUGACUCUCAGGCAGACACAUCCUGUCCAAGGACUGGAGACAGAGCAUCCGUUCUCCCACCCGGAGCGGUCAGCUGCAUGUGGCUGGCUGGGGGCGCUUCAGACAGAAACGGCCCAAGAGAAAUGGAAAUAUGAUGGCUGGUUGAUUGUUUUGCAGUCUGCAUGACAGACCACCCUCCUAACAAGACUCUAGGUCAAGUGGUCUUCUCUGCCCUAUGGAUCUAUUGGGGAGAAAUUAGCUCUCGGUGGUAUUUCCAAUUAUGGAGAAAAGCGAUUCCUCCCUGGUCUAGCUAUCAUGUGUUUUGCGGUGGACCAAGAGACAUGAAGCCCGUUUUCUACCCUCACCUCUUUCUCCAUCUAGCUGCAUGACCUUGGGAGGUGGCGUGACCUCUCGGCUUCUCUGCUGCCUCAUCUGUCAUGAUCCACCUGUAGUACUUCAUAGCCAUGUUCUAGGAUAAAUGAGAGAAGCCUCUACAUCUUUUAGUCUCCCAGAAAGACUGGAACCAGUGAUGAGUUCCAUGAAGACAAAGACCUGUUUAUCUUGUUCUGCUCCAGCACCGAGCAGGUGCAGUGGCUUAUGCCUGUUAUCCCAGAACUUUGGGAGGCUGAGUCAGGAGGAUCACUUGAGGCCAGUUCAAGACCAGCCUGGGAA